RNAcentral lists this ribosomal RNA (467 nucleotides) under uncultured bacterium. Its description in RNAcentral is "partial 16S ribosomal RNA". It matches the Rfam family "Bacterial small subunit ribosomal RNA", at positions 28 to 506 of the family's 1533-position model. The record is from RNAcentral.
GACGAACGCUGGCGGCGUGCUUAACACAUGCAAGUCGAACGGAAAGGCCCUGCUUUUGUGGGGUGCUCGAGUGGCGAACGGGUGAGUAACACGUGAGUAACCUGCCCUUGACUUUGGGAUAACUUCAGGAAACUGGGGCUAAUACCGGAUAGGAGCUCCUGCUGCAUGGUGGGGGUUGGAAAGUUUCGGCGGUUGGGGAUGGACUCGCGGCUUAUCAGCUUGUUGGUGAGGUAGUGGCUUACCAAGGCUUUGACGGGUAGCCGGCCUGAGAGGGUGACCGGCCACAGUGGGACUGAGAUACGGCCCAGACUCCUACGGGAGGCAGCAGUGGGGAAUAUUGCACAAUGGGCGGAAGCCUGAUGCAGCAACGCCGCGUGCGGGAUGACGGCCUUCGGGUUGUAAACCGCUUUCGCCUGUGACGAAGCGUGAGUGACGGUAAUGGGUAAAGAAGCACCGGCUAACUACGU